Molecule: long non-coding RNA, 239 nt
Filed under: Brassica napus (rape)
Lineage: Eukaryota; Viridiplantae; Streptophyta; Magnoliopsida; Brassicales; Brassicaceae
Description: long non-coding RNA (BNAP_LNC017449)
Source: RNAcentral
ACUAUUUUCAAAAACUAACAUAUAUUUUAAACAAAAAAAAUACAAUUUAAAAACACCAAAUAUAAUUUUUCAAAUACAUAUAAAAUCAUCUAACCUAACGAAAAUUUCAUUUAAAAUUAAUCAACUUGAUAUGUACUAUUUUUUAAAAAUAAAUGACAUAAAAUUAAGGAAUAGUUUUUUAGGAAUAUGAUUUUUCAAAUCAAAUAUAAUUUUAAAAGUCGAUAUAAAAUAAACAGCAC